AGCAGCCGCGGUAAUUCCAGCUCCAAUAGCGUAUAUUAAAGUUGUUGCAGUUAAAAAGCUCGUAGUUGAAUUUCAGGCCUGGCUGGGCGGUCCGCCCUUCGGGUGAGUACUGCCUGUGGUCGGGUCCUACCUUCUGGCGAAGCGUCAUGGCCUUCACCGGCCGUGGCGGGGAACCAGGACUUUUACUUUGAAAAAUUAGAGUGUUUAAAGCAGGCUAACGCUUGAAUACAUUAGCAUGGAAUAAUGGAAUAGGACGUUUGAUCCUAUUUUGUUGGUUUCUAGGAUCGACGUAAUGAUUAAUAGGGAUAGUUGGGGGCAUUAGUAUUCAAUUGUCAGAGGUGAAAUUCUUGGAUUUAUUGAAGACUAACUACUGCGAAAGCAUUUGCCAAGGAUGUUUUCAUUAAUCAAGAACGAAAGUUAGGGGAUCGAAGACGAUCAGAUACCGUCGUA
This 450-nucleotide ribosomal RNA is filed under the name uncultured Paraglomus. Its description in RNAcentral is "SSU rRNA". It matches the Rfam family "Eukaryotic small subunit ribosomal RNA", at positions 569 to 1022 of the family's 1831-position model. The record is from RNAcentral. Lineage: Eukaryota; Fungi; Glomeromycota; Glomeromycetes; Paraglomerales; Paraglomeraceae.